GAUGAGCCUAUGUUAGAUUAGCUAGUUGGUAGGGUAAAGGCCUACCAAGGCAGUGAUCUAUAGCUGGUCUGAGAGGAUGAUCAGCCACACUGGAACUGAGACACGGUCCAGACUCCUACGGGAGGCAGCAGUGGGGAAUAUUGGACAAUGGGCGCAAGCCUGAUCCAGCUAUGCCGCGUGAGUGAGGAAGGCCUUAGGGUUGUAAAGCUCUUUCAGUAGGGAAGA
Molecule: ribosomal RNA, 225 nt
Filed under: Anaplasma marginale
Lineage: Bacteria; Pseudomonadati; Pseudomonadota; Alphaproteobacteria; Rickettsiales; Anaplasmataceae
Also listed under: 1 other name
Description: partial 16S ribosomal RNA
Rfam family: Bacterial small subunit ribosomal RNA
Source: RNAcentral